AGAGCAGGCGGCAGUGUGCGCGCGGUGAGGCCAGUGUGAGUGUGUGAGGCAGUGCACGCCGUCGCUUCUCCUCAGACCAACCGACCUACCUACUCACCUACCUACUUACCUUACCCUUUCCUUGCGCCCGUCUACAGGUACUUGUGGUCUUACAGGGACAAGACCCUAGUUACAUGAACUAUAUUUGAACAAGUGGUGAUAAAAGACAAAAGGCAAAAGAAAAAAAAAGAAAAAAAGAGGCCUUCCUGGUGCUAACGCGAUACAAAUAAGAAAACAAAAAAGAAAGAAAAAAAGAAGGAAAAAGAAAAUAAGAAAAAAGAGACAAAGAAAAAAAAACAUAGAGAAAAAAAGAAAAGAAAACAAACAAAACAAAGCAAAAAAAAAAAACGCCCUCAUCCUCUUUUUUCCGGCCCCAUCGCAACAAUCUCGUCAGAUCCUUUCAAGUCACAGCUAUUUCGAAGUUGUCAUUCUACCGCCACGGGCUUGACACCUUUCCCCGGGUGACAACGGUUCUCUCUGAGGCGAACCAUCACAACACAGCUCCUUCAAGCCGCAACGAACCACCUUAUCCCUCGCCACAAAAACCUAUUCCACGAGACGUCACUCAUGGACCAACAGGACGCCGGCACUGUCUGGAAGCACUCCUCAGGAGACCUCCACUCGCGCCUUAAAACCCGGAAGAUCCUCGGCGUCGGAGAGACUGACAAUGGGGACAUUCACAGGUCCAAGGUACGCAAGGACGAGCCUUUUUCCAUCGGGCCGUCUGUCCUCCUAACUGUCUUGC
RNAcentral lists this long non-coding RNA (784 nucleotides) under Penaeus japonicus. RNAcentral describes it as "uncharacterized LOC122252523". Lineage: Eukaryota; Metazoa; Arthropoda; Malacostraca; Decapoda; Penaeidae. The record is from RNAcentral.